AGUGAACGCUGGCGGUAGGCCUAACACAUGCAAGUCGAACGGCAGCACAGGAGAGCUUGCUCUCUGGGUGGCGAGAGGCGGACGGGUGAGGAAUACAUCGGAAUCUACUCUGUCGUGGGGGAUAACGUAGGGAAACUUACGCUAAUACCGCAUACGACCUACGGGUGAAAGCAGGGGACCUUCGGGCCUUGCGCGAUUGAAUGAGCCGAUGUCGGAUUAGCUAGUUGGCGGGGUAAAGGCCCACCAAGGCGACGAUCCGUAGCUGGUCUGAGCGGAUGAUCAGCCAAACUGGAACGGAGACAAGGUCCAGACUCCUACGGGAGGCAGCAGUGGGGAAUAUUGGACAAUGGGCGCAAGCCUGAUCCAGCCAUACCGCGUGGGUGAAGAAGGCCUUCGGGUUGUAAAGCCCUUUUGUUGGGAAAGAAAUCCAGCUGGCUAAUACCCGGUUGGGAUGACGGUACCCAAAGAAUAAGCACCGGCUAACUUCGUGCCAGCCGCCGCCGUAA
RNAcentral lists this ribosomal RNA (506 nucleotides) under uncultured bacterium. Its description in RNAcentral is "partial 16S ribosomal RNA". It matches the Rfam family "Bacterial small subunit ribosomal RNA", at positions 29 to 523 of the family's 1533-position model. The record is from RNAcentral.